Molecule: ribosomal RNA, 468 nt
Filed under: uncultured bacterium
Lineage: Bacteria
Description: partial 16S ribosomal RNA
Rfam family: Bacterial small subunit ribosomal RNA
Source: RNAcentral
GACGAACGCUGGCGGCGUGCUUAACACAUGCAAGUCGAACGGAAAGGCCCUGCUUUUGUGGGGUGCUCGGUUGGCGAACGGGUGAGUAACACGUGAGUAACCUGCCCUUGACUUUGUGAUAACUUCAGGAAACUGGGGCUAAUACCGGAUAUGAUCUCCUGCUGCAUGGUGGGGGUUGGAAAGUUUCGGCGGUUGGGGAUGGACUCGCGGCUUAUCAGCUUGUUUGUGGGGUAGUGGCUUACCAAGGCUUUGACGGGUAGCCGGACUGAGAGGGUGACCGGCGACAUUGGGACUGAGAUACGGCACAGACUCCUACGGGAGGCAGCAGUGGGGAAUAUUGAACAAUGGGCGGAAGCCUGAUGCAGCAACGCCGCGUGCGGGAUGACGGCCUUAGGGUUGUAAAACGCUUUCGCCUGUGACGAAGCGUGAGUGACGGUAAUGGGUAAAGAAGCACCGGCUAACUAAGUG